UUUAAUCCAAUUAAAGAGCAAUGGCGAAUCUUUCAGGGGCUAGCAAUCCAACGAAUGCUGAUGAUGAUGCUCAAAAUUCGCGGCCAGAAAAUUCUUUAAAUGUUGACUUGUGCUCUAAUUCCGAUGCUGAUUUGAGUCAUGAUUUUGUUUCCAAAAAAUUGACAGAGUGGACGUUGGAAGAAUACAUCGAGAUCCUUAACCGGGAGAAAAUUAAUAAAUUUGUGUUUUUACACAUUCCCGAUGAAAAACUUGGUGAACUAAUAAAACCAUUUGGAGACUGCUAUCAAUUUACAUUUCAAAGACAACAAUAUUUACAGUCCACGAACUCUAUUGAAAUCGCGCCUCAAGUAUCAUAUACUCUUGGAUCUAAAUUAAAAACAUUACUGAAAAGUACUUUCAAUGGACAACACAUUCUUAAGCAAUCAAAUUUAUUGUCAUGUGAAAACGAACUGGCCACCAUUGUUGUUGAAUAUAUUUUAAGUUUAAAUUAACGACUGCUCAUUAAAAAACAGCAGUAUCAAUUUUGGGCUACUGAAAUAAGUGCUGUUUGGCCAAAAGAAAUCUCAACAACAUGGUAUCAUCAUCGUAGUGGAGAAAACGCUACAUCAGGAAAAUUGUAUCAUCGCUUCUGCAAUCAAUCUAGAAAAGUUUUACAUUUGAAGAUUAUCAAAUUGGCAAAAAAAAAUUAAGACUGCCAAUGAAUUACUGAAAAAUCUUUGUGGUGUUCCAAGUGAUGUCGAGGCUUGGAAAGUAUUUGCGCAUCUGUUUACCCCUGUAUCGAUGGCUACUGGUAUAAAAAAGCCAUGGAAAGCAUCACGUAAUGAACAAGAUGAUGGUUUUAUAACAUGGAUUGAUGUUGUUGAUCAAAUGGAUACCGCAUUAACUGCUCAAAGAAAGACUUGUGAGAACUGGAAAAUAUCUCUACAGCCUUUUAUUGCUGUUGUUGGACCUUUACAAAACAUAACUGCAGCCUACGUUAUCAUCAACAGUGAACGGGUUCAAUUUGAUUCAGUGACAGAGGCAGUUGCAUUUUGUUGGAAAGCAAUAUAUGCUUUAAAUGUAAAAUAUCAAACUUGCUGCACGGUUGUUUGGACGUUUAUUCAAACUGUUAUCUUCGAGCGAACAGAGACAAAAAGUGACAGGUCCCGAUGAAAAAAGAUUUUGUCUAAUCAUAUAUGAUCAUGCAUAAUUUAUGACAGAGUGUUUAGCUUGCCAAGUCUGGUCACACCCAAGUAUUAUAGACGAAUAUUAGAGCGCCACUGGAAGAUGGACUCGGCCUGCCAGAACCGGGUGUUAAUUUAAAUUUCAUUUAGAAACUCAGGGUCGUUUGUAAAUUUUAUACUUUGUG
This is a long non-coding RNA of Microplitis mediator, 1348 nucleotides long. RefSeq lists it as uncharacterized. The record is from RefSeq and is a predicted model, not a curated record. Lineage: Eukaryota; Metazoa; Arthropoda; Insecta; Hymenoptera; Braconidae. The transcript has 3 exons.